Molecule: ribosomal RNA, 679 nt
Filed under: uncultured Pseudomonadota bacterium
Lineage: Bacteria; Pseudomonadati; Pseudomonadota
Description: bacterial SSU rRNA
Rfam family: Bacterial small subunit ribosomal RNA
Source: RNAcentral
UAACACAUGCAAGUCGAACGGUAACAGGAAGAAGCUUGCUUCUUUGCUGACGAGUGGCGGACGGGUGAGUAAUGUCUGGGAAACUGCCUGAUGGAGGGGGAUAACUACUGGAAACGGUAGCUAAUACCGCAUAACGUCGCAAGACCAAAGAGGGGGACCUUCGGGCCUCUUGCCAUCGGAUGUGCCCAGAUGGGAUUAGCUAGUAGGUGGAGUAACGGCUCACCUAGGCGACGAUCCCUAGCUGGUCUGAGAGGAUGACCAGCCACACUGGAACUGAGACACGGUCCAGACUCCUACGGGAGGCAGCAGUGGGGAAUAUUGCACAAUGGGCGCAAGCCUGAUGCAGCCAUGCCGCGUGUAUGAAGAAGGCCUUCGGGUUGUAAAGUACUUUCAGCGGGGAGGAAGGGAGUAAAGUUAAUACCUUUGCUCAUUGACGUUACCCGCAGAAGAAGCACCGGCUAACUCCGUGCCAGCAGCCGCGGUAAUACGGAGGGUGCAAGCGUUAAUCGGAAUUACUGGGCGUAAAGCGCACGCAGGCGGUUUGUUAAGUCAGAUGUGAAAUCCCCGGGCUCAACCUGGGAACUGCAUCUGAUACUGGCAAGCUUGAGUCUCGUAGAGGGGGGUAGAAUUCCAGGUGUAGCGGUGAAAUGCGUAGAGAUCUGGAGGAUACCGGUGGCGA